Molecule: ribosomal RNA, 459 nt
Filed under: Petriella sordida
Lineage: Eukaryota; Fungi; Ascomycota; Sordariomycetes; Microascales; Microascaceae
Description: eukaryotic LSU rRNA
Rfam family: 5.8S ribosomal RNA (bases 118-271)
Source: RNAcentral
CUUACCAUUGUUAUGUUGCCUCGGCGGGGUUAGCCCCCAAAGCUUCUCCCGCCGGCAGCACUAAAUUCUUAAUUUUAUAGCGGAUUAUACUUCUGAAUACAAUACAAAACAAAUAAAAACUUUCAACAACGGAUCUCUUGGUUCUGGCAUCGAUGAAGAACGCAGCGAAAUGCGAUAAGUAAUGUGAAUUGCAGAAUUCAGUGAAUCAUCGAAUCUUUGAACGCACAUUGCGCCCGGCAGUAAUCUGCCGGGCAUGCCUGUCCGAGCGUCAUUUCAACCCUCGAGCCUAAGUUUUUUAAACUGAAGGAUCGGUGUUGGGGCGCUACAGCGGUUCUUCGGAGCAGCUGUAGGCCCUGAAAUACAGUGGCGGUCCCGCCGCGGCGCCUUCUGCGUAGUAAACUUACAGAUCGCAUUAGGUCCCGGCGAAGGCCAGCCGUCAAACCCUCUAUUUUUUAUGGU